Molecule: ribosomal RNA, 459 nt
Filed under: Triticum aestivum (bread wheat)
Lineage: Eukaryota; Viridiplantae; Streptophyta; Magnoliopsida; Poales; Poaceae
Description: partial small subunit ribosomal RNA
Source: RNAcentral
AUGAUGAGAUUACUUCAGCAACACUUGGAGCGCGUCAGAACUCGUAUGAAACACCAGGCAGAUAAGAAACGUUCUGACAGAGUAUUUGUUGUGGGUGAUUCUGUUUUUCUCAAGUUGCAGCCAUACAUUCAGUCCUCUGUUGCCCCACGUGCUCAUCACAAAUUGUUGUUCAAAUACUAUGGCCCUUAUCAAGUGCUGGAACGAGUAGGUGCAUCAACCUAUCGUCUUGCGCUUCCGCCGGCAAGCAAGAUCCAUCCAGUUCUACACGUAUCUCAACUGAAGUUAGCACUGGGGCCUAAUUGUCAGGUACAAUCUGAACUUCCUCCUCCUGAUGCACAGUUUGCUGUGCCUAUGAGAGUUCUGCAGCGCCGGUUGCGCCGCCGAGGUGAUGCUGCUGUGCCACAAGGCUUGAACAAUGGUCUGAUCAACCGGAUUCUUUGGCUACAUGGGAAGAUUUAG